AUUGAAGAAAAAUUUGAAAUUAAUAGACGCUUCAGAAACAAUUAAUCUCUUGUCUCGUAAAUAUAACAUUGGUAGAUUUACUGUAUAUAUCAUAAAAAAAUUAUAAAGAUAACAUAUUAAAAUGCAAAGAAGAUGAUGCAGCAAACACGAAUAGAGGAAUAAAAAUGAAUAACAGCUUCUAAAAGUCGGUGAAAGUAAUUCAUCUUUGCAUGAAAGAUCAGAUAGCGAACAAACCGUAAUCACAAAGUUAUAUGUAUAAUGUCGCAAGGUGCAUUUCGCACUGCGUAGAAUGCGAUGUAGAAAAUGUGAUUAAAAAUUACGGAAAUGAUAAAGGAUUUAAUAUUCUUAACGACAAUAAAAUAAUAUCUCAAGUUAUAGAGGAUCAAUCUGAAGUGAAUGUAUAAUCAGUUUCAGAUAUCUAGAAAUAAAGAAAUAAAUACAAGACAUGCCCAUAAAGCGACAUUUUAUUAGAAAAUAAGCUUACAUAUUGCAAAGAAAAUAUAUUAGGAACAUCGUAAGAAAAGAGAGUGGAACGUAGUGUAUAAAGAGGUGGGAAAAGGUGAGCACUUAAAAUAAACCUACCAGUUACAAACUGAAAAACUCUCGUUUUUUAACUUUUCUAUGCCUAUAACGAAAAUUAAAAAAAAUACGUAUUGUAGAUCUCGAUAAGUUACAUGCAUGCCGAAAAUUUCAUCGAAAUCAGUUAACGCAAGGUCAUAGUUACGAGCAUUAAACAAAUUUUAAAACAGCAACUUUCUCACAAUUAUUGGACAGAAAUAUUAAAAAUCAGGACAAAACUGCGAUUUUUGCGAUCUUUAAUUGUUUACCGCUUAUACCAAAGUCAACCGAUUCCGCUGAAAUUUUCAACAUGCAUAUAAAUUACCGAGAUCUAUGAAAUGCAUUUCUUAAAUCUUCGUUAUAUAUAUUUCGUCAUAUAUUAUUUUCUUUAAUCAUUCUAAGCAAUAACAAAAUUCAAGUUGUUCAGUCCAGUUCUAAGCAAGUUAUGGCGUUUUAAAAGUUGUCCGAAUAUUAAUAUAAAUAAAUAUGGCCGCGACGCCAUAUAUCCGCAAGAACCGAUUGCCCACGUGGAAGACACGUGCUUCCAGUUUCGCAAGCUUUCUCGAGACGCCAUAUGCGUAACGCACGUGGCGUGUAAUAAUUCGCACUGGCGAAUAAUUAGCCCAUCCGAGAGAAGGUGUCCGAGCCAUUGAAAUGUAAAUGAAGAAAUUCGUACUGAUAAUGAGACUUACCGAAAAACCGAUCAGAAAUUCCCAGUUACGAAUGCGGAUCCUGGCCGGUCACUAGUCUUGACAUAUCUUUGGAACGGUCGCUGCCAGUUGUUGCCAGCACUGUCCUUUAUUAUUUCGCCUGCUGCCCUAUGGUCUUUAGCGGCUAUCUUCCUUCAUUUCGUAUGAAUUAAUCUCGGCUCGAAUUGUCACAGUUACACUUAUUUCUUCCAAACACCCAACGCUACGGUCUACGCGACAGUGAUCCUCGUUCUCGGCAGAUCGCUUCCUCAGCCAGAAACGAGGCAUUCCCCACUCCCCAGACUCACGGCUCGGCACGACGCACAAACCCUACGCGCACUCGCCGUUGCUCAGGGCCGGCACCAUUCGACUCAGCCCACGCUCCGAGCGUCCUAGAUCUCGCGGCAUAAUUCAGUGACUGUAGAGAAUACCGCAACAUGUUACAAUUUCAAGAAAUUUCAGUUUAUGCAAAUACGAUAAGCUCAAUAAAUGGAAAACCAAGAAAGGAAUUGGUUUCUGUAAGAACUUUAAAGGACAAACAUCUCGAAAGUGAAAACAUGUGACAUUCAGUGUUUUUUCUUCCAGCCGCAGAAUUUCCUUCUUUCCUGAUUUUGUUAAAAGACUUACUAAUCACUUUGCAAAUAAAGAUAAAAAAAAUACAAAAAUCAUGCUUUCCACAAAACAAAAAAAUAAAUUAUUAUAUUCAAAAAACUCUACCAAAUUGCAGAAAAACAGUCUAGACUGAGCCCUCUUAUAGCAAACUACGUGUUACAUUUAAGAUUACUUUUUUUGUCCGUGAAAUGUGUAUACGCUAUACGUGAUUGUACUGAACAUGUGUAAUAAAUUAUGAUACCCAAAGCUCA
This is a non-coding RNA of Megalopta genalis, 2110 nucleotides long. Lineage: Eukaryota; Metazoa; Arthropoda; Insecta; Hymenoptera; Halictidae. The record is from RefSeq and is a predicted model, not a curated record.